ACUGCAUACGAACCCAAGGGUCUUUAGUUCACGUGUAACGCCCUACGCAACGUGUGCACAAAGAAAACCCAUAAGAACCUCGUCGCCUUUUAUAGGCUGUGUGCCAAUAGAAGUGAAUUCAAGGUCCAACGCGC
Molecule: small nucleolar RNA, 134 nt
Organism: Trichomycterus rosablanca
Lineage: Eukaryota; Metazoa; Chordata; Actinopteri; Siluriformes; Trichomycteridae
Product: small nucleolar RNA SNORA68
Exons: 1
Source: RefSeq, a predicted model, not a curated record